This 465-nucleotide ribosomal RNA is filed under the name uncultured bacterium. Its description in RNAcentral is "partial 16S ribosomal RNA". It matches the Rfam family "Bacterial small subunit ribosomal RNA", at positions 28 to 507 of the family's 1533-position model. The record is from RNAcentral.
GAUGAACGCUGGCGGCGUGCUUAACACAUGCAAGUCGAACGAUGAAGCCCAGCUUGCUGGGUGGAUUAGUGGCGAACGGGUGAGUAACACGUGAGUAACCUGCCCUUAACUCUGGGAUAAGCCUGGGAAACUGGGUCUAAUACCGGAUAGGAGCGUCCACCGCAUGGUGGGUGUUGGAAAGAUUUAUCGGUUUUGGAUGGACUCGCGGCCUAUCAGCUUGUUGGUGAGGUAAUGGCUCACCAAGGCGACGACGGGUAGCCGGCCUGAGAGGGUGACCGGCAACACGGGGACGGGGACACGGCCCAGACUCCUACGGGAGGCAACAGUGGGAAUAUUGCACAAUGGGCGCAAGCCUGAUGCAGCGACGCCGCGUGAGGGAUGACGGCCUUCGGGUUGUAAACCUCUUUCAGUAGGGAAGAAGCGAAAGUGACGGUACCUGCAGAAGAAGCACCGGCUAACUACGUG